AGUCAUAAUUCAUAUGCAUACACAAAUUUAAACUACAGCACUACGCCUAUGGCUGCAGCUAAAUACUAUUCCUCUCGCUCUCUAAUUCAUAAUCAUACCCGAAUUUUUCAAGAGCUCUCCACCUCCGCCGCCAGAUUGAGCUCGAAGAAAGCAGGUUUUUCAGUCUCGGGUGUAAAGAGAGCUAACCUCACUGCCAGGAAAAAGGAGAGGAUCAAGCUCCCUAAUUAUGGCGGAGGAAAUGGGAUCAGUCAAUUUUUCAGUCAUCCAUCUGGGAUUGAGGCGAUACUCAAUUCUAGGGCUCUGCAGAGUUAUCACCCCAUUGAUUCCAAUCUGUACAGGUGUGUUCUGCCGCAGAUUCAACUUCUCAGUUUUAGAGUUGCGCCAGUUUUGGAGUUACAAGUAACUCCAUCUAGUGAAGAUUGUGUUGUAGAGAUGUUGUCUUGCAAGUUUGAGGGUUCUGAAGCAGUGGAACGCCAGAAUGAACGUUUUUCAGCUUCUAUGAGAAAUCAUAUUACAUGGGAAACUAUUGAUGGUGAACAUGUCUUGGAUGUUGAUGUGGAAUUAAAUAUUCUCCUCGAGCUGACCACAGUAAUGGUGUUAUUUAUCGCAGAUCAACACACAGCCAUUUGCAAUGCUGCCUAUAUCAGCUGUCGAGCAACCAGGAAAUAUGGUGAUGCAGGCCGUGGUAGACCGUAUGGUCCCAUUGCUUGCACAACAAUUGCUGCAAGAUUAUAAGGAAUGGAUUCAUCAACAAAGCAAAAGCCUUGAGUGAAUUAAUCCUGCAAGGUGGAAACUAUCAUAUUUGGUCGUUGCAAUCAGAGGAAAAGUCUCAUCUAACAAAAUACUCCUAGUUACUAGUAUCAUGCAUAAAAGAAUACCAAAUGUAGGUGUGCUAACUUCAAAAAAUGUAUGUAUGCUGAUGAUUGUUGGCAUGACUUGUGAUGAAUAAAAAUUGGUCAGUAUGUUUAUCA
This is a non-coding RNA of Salvia hispanica, 971 nucleotides long. Lineage: Eukaryota; Viridiplantae; Streptophyta; Magnoliopsida; Lamiales; Lamiaceae. The record is from RefSeq and is a predicted model, not a curated record.